Molecule: ribosomal RNA, 466 nt
Filed under: uncultured bacterium
Lineage: Bacteria
Description: bacterial SSU rRNA
Rfam family: Bacterial small subunit ribosomal RNA
Source: RNAcentral
CCUACGGGGUGCAGCAGUGAGGGAUUUCGCGCAAUGGGGGAAACCCUGACGCAGCAAUGCCGCGUGAGUGAAGAAGGCCUUUGGGUCGUAAAGCUCUGUCAGAUGGGAAGAAGUUAUUAAUUAUUAAUAGUAGUUAGUAUUGACGGUACCAUCAAAGGAAGCACCGGCUAACUCCGUGCCAGCAGCCGCGGUAAUACGGAGGGUGCAAGCGUUAUUCGGAAUCAUUGGGCGUAAAGGGCGCGUAGGCGGUAUGUCAAGUCAGAUGUGAAAUCCCGGGGCUUAACUUCGGAGGGUCAUUUGAAACUGGCAUACUUGAGUUCGGUAGAGGAAAGCGGAAUUCCUGGUGUAGCGGUGAAAUGCGUAGAUAUCAGGAGGAACAUCAGUGGCGAAGGCGGCUUUCUGGCCCGAUACUGACGCUGAUGCGCGAAGGCAUGGGUAGCAAACGGGAUUAGAUACCCCCGUAGUC